Non-coding RNA from Sphaerobolus stellatus SS14, 81 nucleotides. NCBI's taxonomy places the organism in Eukaryota, Fungi, Basidiomycota, Agaricomycetes, Geastrales, Sphaerobolaceae. The record is from the annotation of a GenBank genome assembly.
GGAGACAUGGUGUAGGCACUGUCAUACUUCAUUUGCAAUCAACACUUGAAGAGGUCAGGAGUUCAAUUUUUCUUGUCUUCA